RNAcentral lists this ribosomal RNA (1372 nucleotides) under uncultured bacterium. Its description in RNAcentral is "bacterial SSU rRNA". It matches the Rfam family "Bacterial small subunit ribosomal RNA", at positions 28 to 1381 of the family's 1533-position model. The record is from RNAcentral.
GAUGAACGCUGGCGGCGUGCCUAAUACAUGCAAGUCGAGCGAACGGACGAGAAGCUUGCUUCUCUGAUGUUAGCGGCGGACGGGUGAGUAACACGUGGAUAACCUACCUAUAAGACUGGGAUAACUUCGGGAAACCGGAGCUAAUACCGGAUAAUAUUUUGAACCGCAUGGUUCAAAAGUGAAAGACGGUCUUGCUGUCACUUAUAGAUGGAUCCGCGCUGCAUUAGCUAGUUGGUAAGGUAACGGCUUACCAAGGCAACGAUGCAUAGCCGACCUGAGAGGGUGAUCGGCCACACUGGAACUGAGACACGGUCCAGACUCCUACGGGAGGCAGCAGUAGGGAAUCUUCCGCAAUGGGCGAAAGCCUGACGGAGCAACGCCGCGUGAGUGAUGGAGGUCUUCGGAUCGUAAAACUCUGUUAUUAGGGAAGAACAUAUGUGUAAGUAACUGUGCACAUCUUGACGGUACCUAAUCAGAAAGCCACGGCUAACUACGUGCCAGCAGCCGCGGUAAUACGUAGGUGGCAAGCGUUAUCCGGAAUUAUUGGGCGUAAAGCGCGCGUAGGCGGUUUUUUAAGUCUGAUGUGAAAGCCCACGGCUCAACCGUGGAGGGUCAUUGGAAACUGGAAAACUUGAGUGCAGAAGAGGAAAGUGGAAUUCCAUGUGUAGCGGUGAAAUGCGCAGAGAUAUGGAGGAACACCAGUGGCGAAGGCGACUUUCUGGUCUGUAACUGACGCUGAUGUGCGAAAGCGUGGGGAUCAAACAGGAUUAGAUACCCUGGUAGUCCACGCCGUAAACGAUGAGUGCUAAGUGUUAGGGGGUUUCCGCCCCUUAGUGCUGCAGCUAACGCAUUAAGCACUCCGCCUGGGGAGUACGACCGCAAGGUUGAAACUCAAAGGAAUUGACGGGGACCCGCACAAGCGGUGGAGCAUGUGGUUUAAUUCGAAGCAACGCGAAGAACCUUACCAAAUCUUGACAUCCUUUGACAACUCUAGAGAUAGAGCUUUCCCCUUCGGGGGACAAAGUGACAGGUGGUGCAUGGUUGUCGUCAGCUCGUGUCGUGAGAUGUUGGGUUAAGUCCCGCAACGAGCGCAACCCUUAAGCUUAGUUGCCAUCAUUAAGUUGGGCACUCUAAGUUGACUGCCGGUGACAAACCGGAGGAAGGUGGGGAUGACGUCAAAUCAUCAUGCCCCUUAUGAUUUGGGCUACACACGUGCUACAAUGGGCAAUACAAAGGGCAGCGAAACCGCGAGGUCAAGCAAAUCCCAUAAAGUUGUUCUCAGUUCGGAUUGUAGUCUGCAACUCGACUACAUGAAGCUGGAAUCGCUAGUAAUCGUAGAUCAGCAUGCUACGGUGAAUACGUUCCCGGGUCU